Sapajus apella (tufted capuchin) is the source of this 770-nucleotide RNA transcript. It is a transcript of the gene named centromere protein M pseudogene, with no coding region annotated. The record is from RefSeq and is a predicted model, not a curated record. Lineage: Eukaryota; Metazoa; Chordata; Mammalia; Primates; Cebidae. The transcript has a single exon.
UUACUGCUGAGAUGUCACUGUUGAGGCCACUGGAUAAGCUGCCCAGCCUGAACACAGCCACCAUUAUGCUGGUGGGCACGGAGGAUGCUCUUCUGCAGCAGCUGGUGGACUCGAUGCUCAAGGAGGACUGCGCCUCCGAGCUGAAGGUCCACUUGGCAAAGUCCGUCCCUUUGCCCUCCAGUGUGAAUCGGCCCCGAAUUGACCUGAUCGUGUCUGUGGUUAAUCUUCACAUCAAAUACAGCCUCCAGAACACAGAGGAGUCCCUGCACCAUGUGGAUGCCAGCUUCUUCUUGGGGAAGGUGUAUUUCUUCGCCACAGGCGUUGGACAGGAGAGCCACUGCAGCAUUCACCAGCACACAGUGGUGAAGCUGGUCCACACCUACCAAAGCCCCCUGCUCUACUGUGACCUGGAGGUGGAAGGCUUUCGGGCCACCAUGGCACAGCACCUGGUGUGCAUGCUGCAGAUGUGCGACGGCCACGUGCCUGGUGUCUCGGCUCUGAACCUGCUGUCCUUGCUGAGAAGCUCUGAGGGCCCCUCCCUGGAGAACAUGUGAGGGCAGCUGGCCCUGGGCUGCCCCUCCCCAUGGCUUCUUGCUGACUCCAUACACAUUCUCUGUUGAGGAUGUUGAGGGCUUGACAGGCCCCGGCUCAGCCCUCAGCGGUUGGGCAGGUUCCCUGCAGUGCCCAUGCUCUAGCAGGGAGAGCUGGGCAGAAGCAGCAAAGGGCCCAGCUGAUGGGACUCCAGUCCCCUCCCUCUCCCACGCUCACUC